UGGUGGAGUGAUUUGUCUGGUUAAUUCCGUUAACGAACGAGACCUCGACCUGCUAAACAGUUCGGCGAAUCUUUUCUGAUUCGUACGCGACUUCUUAGAGGGACUUUGCCUGUGUAGGGCAAGGAGGUUCGAGGCAAUAACA
RNAcentral lists this ribosomal RNA (142 nucleotides) under uncultured eukaryote. RNAcentral's name for it is "partial 18S ribosomal RNA". It matches the Rfam family "Eukaryotic small subunit ribosomal RNA", at positions 1299 to 1458 of the family's 1831-position model. The record is from RNAcentral.